This 464-nucleotide ribosomal RNA is filed under the name uncultured bacterium. RNAcentral describes it as "partial 16S ribosomal RNA". It matches the Rfam family "Bacterial small subunit ribosomal RNA", at positions 339 to 795 of the family's 1533-position model. The record is from RNAcentral.
CUACGGGGGGCUGCAGUGGGGAAUAUUGCACAAUGGGCGCAAGCCUGAUGCAGCCAUGCCGCGUGUAUGAAGAAGGCCUUCGGGUUGUAAAGUACUUUCAGCGGGGAGGAAGGGAGUAAAGUUAAUACCUUUGCUCAUUGACGUUACCCGCAGAAGAAGCACCGGCUAACUCCGUGCCAGCAGCCGCGGUAAUACGGAGGGUGCAAGCGUUAAUCGGAAUUACUGGGCGUAAAGCGCACGCAGGCGGUUUGUUAAGUCAGAUGUGAAAUCCCCGGGCUCAACCUGGGAACUGCAUCUGAUACUGGCAAGUUUGAGUCUCGUAGAGGGGGGUAGAAUUCCAGGUGUAGCGGUGAAAUGCGUAGAGAUCUGGAGGAAUACCGGUGGCGAAGGCGGCCCCCUGGACGAAGACUGACGCUCAGAUGCGAAAGCGUGGGGAGCAAACAGGAUUAGAUACCCCGGUAGUC